UGGGGAAUAUUGGACAAUGGGCGCAAGCCUGAUCCAGCCAUGCCGCGUGAGUGAUGAAGGCCCUAGGGUUGCAAAGCUCUUUCACCGGUGAAGAUAAUGACGGUAACCGGAGAAGAAGCCCCGGCUAACUUCGUGCCAGCAGCCGCGGUAAUACGAAGGGGGCUAGCGUUGUUCGGAUUUACUGGGCGUAAAGCGCACGUAGGCGGACUAUUAAGUCAGGGGUGAAAUCCCGGGGCUCAACCCCGGAACUGCCUUUGAUACUGGUAGUCUUGAGUUCGAGAGAGGUGAGGGGAAUUCCGAGUGUAGAGGUGAAAUUCGUAGAUAUUCGGAGGAACACCAGUGGCGAAGGCGGCUAACUGGCUCGAUACUGACGCUGAGGUGCGAAAGAGUGGGGAGCAAACAGG
RNAcentral lists this ribosomal RNA (404 nucleotides) under Actinomycetes bacterium. Its description in RNAcentral is "Actinobacteria bacterium partial 16S ribosomal RNA". It matches the Rfam family "Bacterial small subunit ribosomal RNA", at positions 355 to 776 of the family's 1533-position model. The record is from RNAcentral. Lineage: Bacteria; Bacillati; Actinomycetota; Actinomycetes.